RNAcentral lists this long non-coding RNA (852 nucleotides) under Homo sapiens (human). RNAcentral's name for it is "HSALNT0130427". Lineage: Eukaryota; Metazoa; Chordata; Mammalia; Primates; Hominidae. The record is from RNAcentral.
UAAACUUGCAAAUUCACUAUGAAAAAAAUAUCCCAAGCAUGAAGGGCAGAAGCAGCACUGAGACAGAGUGAGCUCAGGACAGUUCUGUUUGGGGAACCUGUUUCUGUUCCUAUGGACUCCAUCCAUCCAGCAACCAACAUGCAGAAGGCAAACAGCAAGGUGCUCCUUACUGCUGGUUGUCAAACUGGGAUAUCUGGUUGCUCUUUCCAAAUCGAACUCGUUCUCCUUUACAGUGUGAUACUUCUACGCCUACUGCUCUAAUAGUAACCACCUUUUCUCACUAGGUUUAAAGUUCUCCAACUAAGUCAGACACUGCCACCUGACUUGACAUUGCAAUAAAAUGAUAGUCACUUCAUGGAAGCCACCACUAAAUAUACCAAUUACCAGGAAUUUUGGGGGAUGUCCAGAGCUCCUAAAACCCAUCUGUGGGUGACUACAUGAAGAAGGCCGACCUAAAGUCAGCCCAGUCUUUCAACCUGGUCUUCCAUAGUAUACAGCUCCUGGGUUGUUCUGCUUUUUCCAGUUGGUUGUGUUGUGAGUCUGUUGGUUGCUGAUUCUGUAAGAGGUAGUAUAAUUCCUUCUCUCUGUAACUGAGCUUGUAACUGGAAAAAAUGACAAUGCCUAAAAUCGUAUAACAAGAAAAAUGGAAUUUUCACUAUUUCAUGGUUCAUUAUGUUGAAAAUAAAAAGACCAAAAGUUAAAAACUGAGUUCCUAUUUCAAAGCACUAUCAAACAUCUAAUUGCAAAAUAUUAUAUACAGGACGGAGGAAGAAUACAACCAACAUCUAUGUGUAAGAAGGCCGCUGAGAGGAGACAGAAAAUAUCCAGCAGAUUCUUUUGCUAUCUUGUGGC